RNAcentral lists this ribosomal RNA (512 nucleotides) under uncultured fungus. RNAcentral's name for it is "SSU rRNA". It matches the Rfam family "Eukaryotic small subunit ribosomal RNA", at positions 569 to 1082 of the family's 1831-position model. Lineage: Eukaryota; Fungi. The record is from RNAcentral.
AGCAGCCGCGGUAAUUCCAGCUCCAAUAGCGUAUAUUAAAGUUGUUGCAGUUAAAAAGCUCGUAGUUGAAUUUCGGGGUCAGCAGGUUGGUCGUGCCUCUGGUAUGCACUGGCCUUGCUGAUUCCUCCCUCUUGAUGAGCCGUAAUGCCAUUAAUUUGGUGUUGCGGGGAAUCAGGACUGUUACUUUGAAAAAAUUAGAGUGUUUAAAGCAGGCAAGCGCUUGAAUACAUUAGCAUGGAAUAAUGAAAUAGGACGUUCGAUCCUAUUUUGUUGGUUUCUAGGAUUGACGUAAUGAUUAAUAGGGAUAGUUGGGGGCAUUAGUAUUCAAUUGUCAGAGGUGAAAUUCUUGGAUUUAUUGAAGACUAACUACUGCGAAAGCAAUUUGCCAAGGAUGUUUUCAUUAAUCAAGAACGAAAGUUAGGGGAUCGAAGACGAUCAGAUACCGUCGUAGUCUUAACCAUAAACUAUGCCGACUAGGAUCGGAUGAUGUUAAUUUUUUAAUGACUCAUUAC